GAUAUUGAGCCCUACCUCCCCACCCUGAUGGAGACCAUGUUGUCUGCCCUCAGGAAUGCAGAAGACCUGAAAAUCAAAGAGCUGACCGUGUCGGCUAUAGGUGCUAUAGCUAAUGCAGCCAAGGAGUUGCUGGUUCCCUAUUUCCCUCCAGUGAUCGAAAGCCUGAAAGGUUUUCUCAUCGCCACCACAGAGGAGAUGAGGCAUCUGCAAAAUCAGUCCCUCAUCAUGCUAACUGCACUGAUCCCCAAGAUCAGCAAGGAAGACUCCAGUCCUCUCGCUGAAGAAUGUAUUCAACUCAGCCUCA
This is a long non-coding RNA of Xiphophorus maculatus (southern platyfish), 304 nucleotides long. RefSeq lists it as uncharacterized. The record is from RefSeq and is a predicted model, not a curated record. NCBI's taxonomy places the organism in Eukaryota, Metazoa, Chordata, Actinopteri, Cyprinodontiformes, Poeciliidae. The transcript has 3 exons.